UACGUAGGGUGCGAGCGUUGUCCGGAAUUAUUGGGCGUAAAGAGCUUGUAGGCGGCUUGUCGCGUCUGCUGUGAAAAUCCGAGGCUCAACCUCGGACUUGCAGUGGGUACGGGCAGGCUAGAGUGUGGUAGGGGAGACUGGAAUUCCUGGUGUAGCGGUGAAAUGCGCAGAUAUCAGGAGGAACACCGAUGGCGAAGGCAGGUCUCUGGGCCACUACUGACGCUGAGAAGCGAAAGCAUGGGGAGCGAAC
This 250-nucleotide ribosomal RNA is filed under the name uncultured bacterium. RNAcentral's name for it is "partial 16S ribosomal RNA". It matches the Rfam family "Bacterial small subunit ribosomal RNA", at positions 524 to 773 of the family's 1533-position model. The record is from RNAcentral. RNAcentral also lists the same sequence under 1 other name.